This 466-nucleotide ribosomal RNA is filed under the name uncultured bacterium. Its description in RNAcentral is "SSU rRNA". It matches the Rfam family "Bacterial small subunit ribosomal RNA", at positions 26 to 518 of the family's 1533-position model. The record is from RNAcentral.
AGGACUAACGCUGGCGGCGUGCCUAACACAUGCAAGUCGAACGAGGGGUAGCAAUACCCCUAGUGGCAGACGGGUGAGUAACACGUAGUCAACCUACCUCUUAAUGGGGGAUAACUAGCCGAAAGGUUAGCUAAUACCGCAUACGAUCGUCGAGUGGCAUCACACGACGAUGAAAGGAGCAAUCCGUUGAGAGAGGGGACUGCGUCCCAUUAGUUAGUUGGUGGGGUAAUGGCCUACCAAGACUCCGAUGGGUAGCUGGCUUGAGAGAGCGACCAGCCACACUGGAACUGAGACACGGUCCAGACUCCUACGGGAGGCAGCAGUGAGGAAUUUUCCGCAAUGGGGGAAACCCUGACGGAGCGACGCCGCGUGUGGGAAGAAGGCCUUCGGGUCGUAACCACUGUCGAGGGGGACGAUAUUGACGGUACCCUGGAGGAAGCCCGGCUAACUACGCGCCAGCAGCCGC